This is a long non-coding RNA of Cyprinus carpio (common carp), 1030 nucleotides long. The record is from Ensembl. NCBI's taxonomy places the organism in Eukaryota, Metazoa, Chordata, Actinopteri, Cypriniformes, Cyprinidae.
AAAAUUACCCCAUGAUUUACUCACCCUCAAGCCAUAGGUGGAUAUGGCUUUAUUCUUUUAGACGAACACAGUCGGAGUUAUAAUUGACUGAAACCUGGCUAAAACCAAAAUUGACUGAAACCUGGCUAAAACCAAAUGAUUUUAUUGGUCUAAAUGAGUCUACUCCACCAAACUACUGUUAUAAACAUGAGCCCCGUCAGACUGGUUGUGGGGGAGGUGUUGCAACAAUAUAUAGUGAUAUUCUCAAUGUUACCCAGAAAACAGGAUACAGGUUUAAAUCAUUUGAAAUACUUAUGCUUAAUGUUACACUGUCAGAUAUGCAAAAGAAAUCUAUUAUAUCUCUUUCUCUGGCUACUGUGUAUAGACCACCAGGGCCAUAUACAGAAUUCCUAAAAGAAUUUGGAGAUUUCCUCUCAGACCUGUUGGUUACCGCUGAUAAAGCGCUAAUUUUCGGAGAUUUUAACAUUCAUAUUGAUAAUACAAAUGAUGCAUUAGGACUUGCGUUUACUAACUUAUUAAACUGUUUUGGAGUAAAGCAAAAUGUCACCGGGCCCACUCAUCGUUUUAAUCAUACGCUAGACUUAAUUAUAUCGCAUGGAAUCGAUCUUACUGACAUAGAUAUCGUACCUCAAAGUGAUGAUGUUACUGACCAUUUCCUUGUAUCAAGCAUUCUGCGAACUGAUGAUAUUAACUAUACGGCUUCACAUUAUCGUCCGAGCAGAACUAUUGUUCCAGCCACCAAAGACAGAUUCGCAAAUAACCUGCCUGAUUUAUCUCAACUGCUCUGUGUACCCAUAAACACACAUGAACUAGACAAAAUGACUGGCAAUAUGGGCACUAUCUUCUCUAAUACAUUAGAAGCUGUUGCCCCCAUCAAAUUGAAAAAGGUUAGAGAAAAACGUACUGUGCCAUGGUACAACAGUAAUACCCACGCUCUCAAGAAAGAAACUCGUAGUCUUGAGCGCAAAUGGAGAAAAACUAACUUGGAAGUUUUUAGAAUAGUGUGGUUAAGACCNNNNNNNNNNNNNNN